Molecule: long non-coding RNA, 335 nt
Organism: Oreochromis aureus
Lineage: Eukaryota; Metazoa; Chordata; Actinopteri; Cichliformes; Cichlidae
Source: Ensembl
CCCCCAGCCCACUGAUAGCAACCAUCAUAAUGCCACACCCAGCUUCCGGCACCUUUCGCCACUCCGGCACAAACCGACACAGCUUUGCGAUCUCGCCAGCAUGCAGAGUCUGAUGUCUUCCCUAUAGAUGGUGAGACGCUUUGCGUUGAUUGGUGCUGCUGGACCACACUGGAGGUGCGAGUCCGCCGUGUAAUGGUUUAUGCCAUUACAAAGGAGCUGGCCUCUGUACUCAACUGGGCAGGGAAAAAAACCAAGGACCAGACAAAGCAAAAAGGGCAUUUAAAGAGACAGCGCUGUGCAGAUGCAUAUUUGAUGGCCUGGUGCAGCAGGUAGGG